GGCACUGCCGCACACAGGGCUCGUUGCUGGUGUCAGCCAGAGGGGCCGGGGUGGCCACCCCGCAGCUGGGGAUGCACAGGCUGGAGCAGGACAUCGUUGAGACUAGGAAAGGCUUCUGGAAAACACCCAGGGAAGAAAGAGGUAAAGGUGUGAGGAAGGAAUUUCCCAGAGAGAGGUCCCCAAGAAGCUUCGGAGAGCUGCACUUACCUAAGUGAUGAGAAGAGUCAAGUGGAGAAGUGUGGAUGGAGCUGUGCAAGGAGCUCAUCCCUUUUAUACACCCCAGAGAGGCUGGGGCAUCAGGAAUGGGGGCGGUGACAAAAAACCCCGAGUAAUUAGGAAUUCAAGCUGACAAGCUCGAUCAGAGAGAUAAUGUUGCAAGAUAAUUCCAUGACAUCCCCUCCUUGGGGACACAGGUGUGAAAACGUGUCCUGGACAUGAAGGAAGUGACGGGAGGGACAGCCGUGGCCCAUAAUUACAUGACAGACACCAUGCUGCUGCAGCUCACUCAGCUCACAUCCCCAAUAAACCCAGCUUUGUCCCUAAUCCCUCACUUUGCUUACAGAGAACAAUUCCUGGCAUCUUGCAGCACCUUUGAAGUGCUGCCCCAGCCAUCACCUCUGUCAUUAUCGGCCUUUUUACGGGCUGGUAAACAGAGGCAGCGGCAGCUUGGGCAAAGCAGAAGCCACUCUCGGGGUGUCUCCCAAAUCCCACCCACUGCCAGUGCCAGCAAAUGUGCUCAUGGCCAGGCCCUUUGAGAGAUGUAUAAAAGGUCCAAGGGUUCCACAGAGCUCUAUCCACCUUCCACCGCUUGACUCGCCUUAUCACCUUGG
Molecule: long non-coding RNA, 830 nt
Filed under: Junco hyemalis (dark-eyed junco)
Lineage: Eukaryota; Metazoa; Chordata; Aves; Passeriformes; Passerellidae
Description: lncRNA (ENSJHYG00000006836.1)
Source: RNAcentral